AUCUAAAACACAAUAAAAUAAAGAGUAAUUUAUAGAAUAAGUCAGGAAAAGAAACGAAGCGGGUAGUGUGCUACCUAUCUUUCAAAAAAAAAAAAGUUAGAGAAAGAACUCCUCAUUCUGUGCAUAUUUUUACAGGGCACUUGCUUAUAAAUUCAUGAAAUAUUUUCGACUUGCUGAUUUACUCCUCUUAGAAGGCUAAUAUUGAAAAUGCUCUUUUUACGUUCCAAUAUAUUUCAAAUAUAUCCCUAGAGUUAAAUUCUGUUAAUAAACUAUUAGCAAUAGUUGUUAUUUUUAUAAAAUUACUAUUUUACCCUUUCAAAUAUACCUUAAUUUCUGCCGUCACCCACUUUUCUUAUUUGUCGUUAAGUUAGGAGCACAAAAAAUAUAUUUUAAUUUUUAGUCUUUUCAAAUAUAUCUUCUAUCAUUUCCAACAUUUCUUAUUUGUCCUUAAGUUAAAGAUAAAAUAGACAUUUUGAUUUUUUUAAAACUCUGCUAGAUAUUUAAUUUACGUUUAAUCCAAGUUAACUUAAUGGGUAGUAACUAUAGGAGUAUUUUGGAAUAACGGAGGAACAUAUGAGGGGUAUAAUCGAAAAAAAAAGAAGGAAUAAAUGAGAUAUUUUCGAAGUUUUGAGAAAUAUAUAGGGAAUUAUUCUUAUUUUUCUUUACACUUUAUUUGGAUUGAGAGAAGAAAAAAAAGAUAGGAGAAAAAAUAUUUCUUUAUUUUUGUUUUGGUCUAAAUUUGAGGAAAGGGAAAAAGAGAAACGUUGAGA
This 770-nucleotide long non-coding RNA is filed under the name Ananas comosus (pineapple). Its description in RNAcentral is "long non-coding RNA (ACOM_LNC005076)". The record is from RNAcentral. Lineage: Eukaryota; Viridiplantae; Streptophyta; Magnoliopsida; Poales; Bromeliaceae.